GACGAACGCUGGCGGCGUGCUUAACACAUGCAAGUCGAGCGGUAAGGCCUUUCGGGGUACACGAGCGGCGAACGGGUGAGUAACACGUGGGUGAUCUGCCCUGCACUUCGGGAUAAGCCUGGGAAACUGGGUCUAAUACCGGAUAUGACCUCCUAUCGCAUGGUGGGUGGUGGAAAGAUUUAUCGGUGCAGGAUGGGCCCGCGGCCUAUCAGCUUGUUGGUGGGGUAAUGGCCUACCAAGGCGACGACGGGUAGCCGACCUGAGAGGGUGACCGGCCACACUGGGACUGAGACACGGCCCAGACUCCUACGGGAGGCAGCAGGGGGGAAUAUUGCACAAUGGGCGAAAGCCUGAUGCAGCGACGCCGCGUGAGGGAUGACGGCCUUCGGGUUGUAAACCUCUUUCAGCAGGGACGAAGCGCAAGUGACGGUACCUGCAGAAGAAGCACCGGCUAACUACGUG
RNAcentral lists this ribosomal RNA (462 nucleotides) under uncultured bacterium. RNAcentral's name for it is "partial 16S ribosomal RNA". It matches the Rfam family "Bacterial small subunit ribosomal RNA", at positions 28 to 507 of the family's 1533-position model. The record is from RNAcentral.